ACGCCGCGUGAGCGAUGACGGAUUUCUGGAUGUAAAGCUCUUUCUUUCAGGGAAGAAAAUGACGGUACCUGACUACACGAAUCGCCGGCUAUAAUACGAGCCAGGCGCCGCGAAUAUUCGAGCCAGCCGCCGCGGUAAU
RNAcentral lists this ribosomal RNA (139 nucleotides) under uncultured bacterium. Its description in RNAcentral is "partial 16S ribosomal RNA". The record is from RNAcentral.